UUCAUCAUCUAUUUCCCACUCUGUUUUUAGUAACAGAAUUUAAAAAUCAGCAAAGUAUAUAACUAAUUUAAAUAACAUGUUUUGAAUAUAUUUAGCAUACCUUGAGCAGAGAACAUAUAUUCAUCCUCGUUAGUGUCUUGUUCAAAUAUCACUCCAUCAUUGUCUGCACAUUAAUGUUUUUAAUUUAUAUUAGUUCUCGGUUUCAUAAGCACAUAAAUAAUAUCUUUAUAAACAUACCCUGAUCUUCAUUGUAGGCUGAUAUUGGUGCAUCUUUGUUUUUGGUAGUUGGACACAUUGAAGAGGGAAUAUCUGUCCAAGAAGUAUGAUUGUUUGUGGCCCAUCUUUAUUUUUGGUGAAAGUGGGAAUAUCUGUCAAAGAACCUGUCCAAGAAGCAUGGUUGUUUGUGGUUCAUCUUUGUUUUUGGUAGCUGGACACAUCGAAGCGUGAAUAUCUGUAAAAGAACCAUGGUUAGUUUUACAUGAGCUUGUAAUUUGUAUUGAGGCGUCAAAAGUAUCAUAUAAUUAUAGUGUUACCAUUAAUGAUGGCUUGUAAAUGUGGACGCCCCCUGUUGUCAUCUCCAUUUCUCAGUUUGGAAGUCCCUUCUUUUGAUGACAUAGCAGCAUUUUCUAUUUUUCUUAUGAAUUCUUCAUUGCGACGGUGUAGCAAUGUUUUUU
Long non-coding RNA from Sorghum bicolor (sorghum), 674 nucleotides. RefSeq lists it as uncharacterized. The record is from RefSeq and is a predicted model, not a curated record. The transcript has 3 exons. NCBI's taxonomy places the organism in Eukaryota, Viridiplantae, Streptophyta, Magnoliopsida, Poales, Poaceae.